UACGUAGGGAGCAAGCGUUAUCCGGAAUUAUUGGGUGUAAAGGGUGCGUAGACGGGAUAACAAGUUAGUUGUGAAACCCCUCGGCUUAACUGAGGAACUGCAACUAAAACUAUUAUUCUUGAGUGCAGGAGGGGAAAGUGGAAUUCCAAGUGUAGCGGUGAAAUGCGUAGAUAUUUGGAAGAACACCAGUGGCGAAGGCGACUUUCUGGACUGUAACUGACGUUGAGGCACGAAAGUGUGGGGAG
Molecule: ribosomal RNA, 245 nt
Filed under: uncultured Eubacteriales bacterium
Lineage: Bacteria; Bacillati; Bacillota; Clostridia; Eubacteriales
Description: uncultured Clostridiales bacterium partial 16S ribosomal RNA
Rfam family: Bacterial small subunit ribosomal RNA
Source: RNAcentral